This 292-nucleotide ribosomal RNA is filed under the name uncultured bacterium. RNAcentral describes it as "partial 16S ribosomal RNA". It matches the Rfam family "Bacterial small subunit ribosomal RNA", at positions 505 to 796 of the family's 1533-position model. The record is from RNAcentral.
GUGCCAGCAGCCGCGGUAAUACAGAGGUCCCAAGCGUUGUUCGGAUUCACUGGGCGUAAAGGGUGCGUAGGUGGUGAGGUAAGUCGGAUGUGAAAUCUCCGGGCUCAACCCGGAAACUGCAUUGGAAACUACCUUGCUUGAGGAUUUGAGGGGGGAUUGGAAUACUUGGUGUAGCAGUGAAAUGCGUAGAUAUCAAGUGGAACACCAGUGGCGAAGGCGAAUCCCUGGAAAAUACCUGACACUGAGGCACGAAAGCUAGGGGAGCAAACAGGAUUAGAUACCCUGGUAGUCC